CAUCGCGCUGGCGCAACGGGGCCGAGAGCGAAACACCAUCGCCGUGGAACCAGUUGCGUAACAGAUCGAUGACCGACUAAAAGCGAAAAGGCGUCCUUGGCAGUGAAUCAAGCGCGCGUCCGUCACGCCGCGCUGGUUUGCACGGUGGAUCGCGUGUUUACGCUAUAAAUACUAUGCCCUUGCGGCGCCGGCGUCUGGACAAAAAUGGCAUGAGCAGGCAGCGAUUAUGGGCAGGCACCUCUCCAUGGUAUCGCAGAACUAUGUUAGAAACAGAACGGUAUGUGAGCGCCCGAUUUAGUUGGGAGUUUGCGAUUGAUUUCACGCAACCACUCGGCGCGUCCAUCUGUCAAUAGCCGUAAUCGUGGAUCUGUAUUGGCCAAGAUCAGAUUUCGUGCGUUUACACAACGUAAAUGGAUGGGACGCGCAGAAAUACAUCACCAGAG
Long non-coding RNA from Galleria mellonella (greater wax moth), 443 nucleotides. RefSeq lists it as uncharacterized. The transcript has 3 exons. The record is from RefSeq and is a predicted model, not a curated record. Lineage: Eukaryota; Metazoa; Arthropoda; Insecta; Lepidoptera; Pyralidae.